CUGGCUCAGGAUGAACGCUAGCUACAGGCUUAACACAUGCAAGUCAGGGGCAUCAUGGAGUUGCUUGCAAACUCUGAUGGCGACCGGCGCACGGGUGAGUAACGCGUAUCCAACCUUCCCUAUAGUAGAGGAUAGCCCGGCGAAAGUCGGAUUAAUACUCUAUGUUUUCCGUUGCAGACAUCUAAGAUGGAACAAAGGCUUGCCGCUAUAGGAUGGGGGAUGCGUCUGAUUAGGUAGUCGGCGGGGUAACGGCCCACCGAGCCAUCGAUCAGUAGGGGUUCUGAGAGGAAGGUCCCCCACAUUGGAACUGAGACACGGUCCAAACUCCUACGGGAGGCAGCAGUGAGGAAUAUUGGUCAAUGGGCGAGAGCCUGAACCAGCCAAGUAGCCGUGCAGGACGACGGCCCUAUGGGUUGUAAACUGCUUUUAUGCGGGGAUAAAGUUCACUACGUGUAGUGUUUUGUAGGUACCGCAUGAAUAAGGACCGGCUAAUUCCGUGCCAGCCGCCGC
RNAcentral lists this ribosomal RNA (510 nucleotides) under uncultured bacterium. RNAcentral's name for it is "bacterial SSU rRNA". It matches the Rfam family "Bacterial small subunit ribosomal RNA", at positions 19 to 518 of the family's 1533-position model. The record is from RNAcentral.